GCAGGGCCCGCGUUCCCCGCUGGCUCCGGCCCCGCUGCCCCGGUCCAGCCCCGCUCCGGCCCCGCUGCCCGGGCCUUUGUCCGGGCCGGCGCCGUCCCCAUGGAAACCCGGCGGGGCCCGGCGGAAAGGGCCGGGCACGGCACAAAGGAGCGGGGCGGGACGGGCACGGCCGGGCCUGGGGCUCCUGCUGCGGGAACAACAGCGGGGAGCACCGGGAACUGCGGGGAACAACCCGGCAAAACACCGGCAAACAACACCGGGGAACAACCCCGCAAAAGAGCGGCAAACAACACCGGGGAACACGGGGUAACAGCCCCGGGAACACCGAGAAGCACCGGGAAACAACCCCGGGAAGCCCUGGGGACACCGAGGAGCCCCGGGGACACCGGGAACCAAGCCCUGGAAGCACCGUGAGCACCGUGAGCCAGUCCCGGGAACGCCGUGAAGCAGCCCCGGGAGCACCGUGAAGCCCCGGGAACACCGAGAAGCAGCCCCGGGAACACCGAGGAACAGCCGGAGCCCCGUGCAGCAGCCCCGGAGCAGCGAGCGGCGGCGCCGGGCCAGCCCUGAGGGUCACCCUCAGCUGUGCUGCCCAUGAGGUGAGGAGGUGUGAGGAUCCCUGUCCUCCCUGCAAGAGGAGAAAUUCUCACUUGGAAAGGAAAAAAAUCAGCCAAACCUGCUGGGGAAGGUGAGGAUAAUUGAGGAAUUAGGACAGAAACAUGGAGUUACACCUGUCCUGUCACUGCUGCAGGAUGUUCUUCCUGGGUUUUUGGCAAUGACCACUUGUGCAAAUGCAGUUAAAAAUCAGUUCCCUGCUAAUUAUCCCACACUCAGAAUCAGAAUCAGGAAGAUUUUGCUUUCUACCCCAGAAUAUUCCAAAUUCCCAACAAAAAGGAUGUUUGGGAUGCCCUACACUGAAGAGGGAGCUGGCAUAGAAUCUCAUAUUUACCCCUCCAGACCUCAGGUAGCAUCAGAUUCCCAGGAAUGAAUCCCCAUCUGGAGGGAAUUUGAGAAUUUGUCUCUGAGAUCCCCAAACGUCACCCUGUGAAGCCAACCAAAAUUCUGGAAUGAUCCCAUGGCCACCCUAGAACUGACAGAAAUGGUGGAAUGUUCCUCUGGUAACCCUAGAGCCAACAAAAAUGGUAAAACACUCUUCUGGAAAUUGUAGAACUGAAAAAAAAAAAAGGUGAAAUUCUCCUCUGGUAUCUCUAGAACCAACCAAAAAAAAAAUUGAAUGCUCCCCUGGCAACUCUAGAACUGGCAAAAAGGGUGGAAUUCUACCACGGCAACCUUGGAAUUUAAAAAAAAAAUAUUAAAUACUCCCAUGGCAACCCUAGAACUGACAGAAAUGGUGGAAUGCUUCCCCUGGAAAUCCUAGAACCAAUAAAAAGGGUGGAAUGCCCCUCUGGCAACUCCAGAACUGGCAAAAAGGGUGGAAUUCUACCAUGGCAACCCUAGAAACAAAUAAAACCAGUGGGAUGAUCCCAUGGCAACCCUAGGACCAACAAAGACAAUGGAAUAAUCCCAUGGCAACCCUAGAACUGACAAAAAGGGUGGAAUUCUCCUCUGGAAAUCCUAGAGCCAACAAAAAUGGUGGAAUGGUCCUGUGGUGACCCCAGAACCCACAGAAAUAGUGAAAUGCUCCUCUGGAACCCAAGAACUGAAAAAAAAAUUGUGGAACUCUCCUCUGGUAUCUCUAGAACCAACAAAAAAAGUGGAAUGGUGUACUGGAAAUCCUAGAACUGACAGAAAGGGUGGAAUGUUCCUCUGGAAAUCCUAGAGCCAACAAAAAUGGUGGAAUGGUCCUGUGGUGACCGUAGAACAUACAGAAAUGGUGGAAUGCUCUUCUGGAAAUCCUAGAACUAACAAAAAUAGUGGAAUUAUCCUCUGGCAACCCUAGAGUUUAAAAAAAAUUAUUAAAUGUUCCUCUGGAAAUCCUAGAACUAACAAAAAUGGUGGAAUUAUCUGGCAACCCUAGAGUUUAAAAAAAAUUAUUAAAUGUUCCUCUGGAAACCCUAGAGCCAACAAAAGUGGUGGAUUGAUCCCGUGGUGACCCUAGAAUUGGCAAAGAUGGUGGAAUGUUCCUCUGGAAAUCCUAAACCCAACAAAACCAAUGGAAUGCUUGUUUGACAACCCUAGAACCAAGAAAAACUUUGGAAUGUUCCCCUGCCGUCCCUAAAACCAACCAAAAAUGGUGGAAUCCUCCCCUGGAAUCUCCGUUCCCAGGAGCUCUGGGUGUUCCUCCUGCCCCAUGGACAAUAAAACCCAGCAGGUUGGACACCUCUGCCUCCCCCCAUUCACCACCCACCCCAAACUGGGGCUGUGACAUGGGGGGACGUUUUGUGCCCCUGAUCCUCCAGGAAUUUUUAACGCUUGUGGCUUCCCAGAGCCACCCCAGAUCCAGCAGGGAUCAGGGUGGAGGAGGUGUUGGCCUCCCCCAGGAGCUCCCAGGGGUUGGGGUUCAGGUUUAUUUAGGUUUAUCCCUAAAUAAAUUAAUCAUUUCUGGA
Molecule: long non-coding RNA, 2507 nt
Organism: Passer montanus (Eurasian tree sparrow)
Lineage: Eukaryota; Metazoa; Chordata; Aves; Passeriformes; Passeridae
Exons: 2
Source: RefSeq, a predicted model, not a curated record